Molecule: long non-coding RNA, 221 nt
Filed under: Calidris pygmaea (Spoon-billed sandpiper)
Lineage: Eukaryota; Metazoa; Chordata; Aves; Charadriiformes; Scolopacidae
Description: lncRNA (ENSCPGG00000009502.1)
Source: RNAcentral
GCCCUGCCGUUACCUGGGAGAGCCGGGGAAAGAAUCUCGGAGUCUGAACCUUGAGAAAUUGUGAUGGAGUGGCACCACAGAAGGAUUUAGUCAACAUCUUUCACACAAGAUAACUAAAAAGGGCACAAAGAAUCCACGUAGUUUUAUUUCAAACAAUGAAUCUGUGAUGAACUCUGUGGGGUCCUGUUUUCACUGAGUCUCCGGGACUGGCAGAACACAGG